This 32-nucleotide non-coding RNA is filed under the name Geobacter sulfurreducens PCA. Lineage: Bacteria; Pseudomonadati; Thermodesulfobacteriota; Desulfuromonadia; Geobacterales; Geobacteraceae. The record is from RNAcentral.
GACAAAAUCAGCGACAUUACCACCGUUGGCGA